GUGCUCGCUUCGGCAGCUCAUGUACCAAAAUUGGAACCAUACAGAGAAGAUCAACAUGGCCCCUGGGCAAGAA
Molecule: small nuclear RNA, 73 nt
Organism: Urocitellus parryii (Arctic ground squirrel)
Lineage: Eukaryota; Metazoa; Chordata; Mammalia; Rodentia; Sciuridae
Source: Ensembl